This 301-nucleotide ribosomal RNA is filed under the name uncultured bacterium. RNAcentral describes it as "partial 16S ribosomal RNA". It matches the Rfam family "Bacterial small subunit ribosomal RNA", at positions 509 to 807 of the family's 1533-position model. The record is from RNAcentral.
CAGUCGCCGCGGUAAUACGGAGGGUGCAAGCGUUAAUCGGAAUUAUUGGGCGUAAAGCGUGCGUAGGCGGUUCGUUAAGUCUGUUGUGAAAGCCCCGGGCUCAACCUGGGAAUGGCAGUGGAUACUGGCGAGCUAGAGUGUGUCAGAGGAUGGUGGAAUUCCCGGUGUAGCGGUGAAAUGCGUAGAGAUCGGGAGGAACAUCUGUGGCGAAGGCGACUAUCUGGGCCAACACUGACACUGAGACACGAAAGCGUGGGGAGCAAACAGGAUUAGAUACCCCCGUAGUCCCUGUCUCUUAUAC